GGUGGGGUAUAGGGGACUUUCAGUAUAGCAUUUGAAAAGUAAAUGAAGAAAAUAUCUAAUAAAAAAUUGGGAAAAAAAAAAGAGAACAAAUUCUCUGGACAAUCAAUGCAAGAGCCAUAAACUCUUGAUGAAGAAAAUUUUAAUUGUAUUAUAGAAAGUAAAAUAAAGUUUAAAUGUUACCAGAACAUUUUCUGUUUUCAAUGAUGUCUUAGUUUGGGUUUUUAAUGCUUCAGGAAAACACCAUAACCAAAAGUAGGUUGGGAAGGAAGGUGCUUAUAUGGCUUACACUUCCAGAUCUUAGUCCAUCAUUGGAAGAAAUCAGGACAGGAACUCAAGCAGGGCUGUAAUCUGGAGGCAAGAGCUGAUUCAGAGGUCAUGGAGGGGAGCUGUUUACUGGUUUGCUUCCCGUGGCUUGCUCAACCUGUCCUCCUAUAGAACCCAGGACUACCAGCCUAGGGAUGGCACUACCCACAGUGGGCUGCACCCUCCCCCAUUGACCACUAAUUGAAAAAAUGCCUUACCACUGGAUCUCCCAAAGGCAUUUUCUCAACUGAGGCUCCUUCCUCACUAAUCUUCCUCUAGAAUGUGUCAAGUUGACCCAAAACCAGCCAAUAAAAAUGGCAAUGCAAGAUGUGAAUGUCAAACAAAGGGUAGGUGGUGUAAAUCUCCUUCAAAAACCUUUGAUGAUUUGUCUGUCUUCCCCGGUAGACGACAAGCUCUGUAAGGCUAGAAGCCAGGACAGUUUUAUCCAUCCUGCCAUACUCAGCCCCUAAAACAUAGGAACAGAGUAUUUUUAAAUGAGUAGAAUAAAAAAACACGUCAUCUACUAGGGCAUAUGCUAUAAUUCUACUAAAUACCGCAAGAUGGAAUUCCUGGUUAAAUAAUAAAAAAUACAGAAGUGUUUAUCAAGGAGAGGCAGCUUUAAAAAUGAAGUGACAUUGAAAGCUGGCUGAUGACUUUCCCUCCUAGAUGUUCCUUGGUAAUGCACCCUUCCCCUUCAAUUUCUCCAUUUAGUUGUGAUACAUGAUGAGACUCCUUGACAGAAACCAAAUGUAUGCUGACCCAUGCUCAGGAACCUUUGGAUUAUAAGAUAAUAUUUUUUUUUACAAAUUACCCAAAGUCCAAGAACCUGCCACAAUAAUAACAGUGAGCUGUUUCGGAAUUUACAAGUGAAGCCCAUGGCAUAGCAUAUGACCAAAAUGGUAGUCACUAUAGUUUAAAUAAGCAAUAAUUUUAAUAACUAAAAUAUAAAAUCCAUAACAUCAGUCUUUUUGGCUUACUCUUUCAUACUUCAAAGCUCUUCCGGGGUUUUCGGUUUGAACUGCUAAGAACUAGAGAAUAGUAGCAUAAAUAGCUUUUAGCAAAGAGCUAACUGCCAGUUAUGAGGAUCCUUGUAACACAUUGAAGUCCUCUGAACCAAUCCACAUGAUAAGGACAUUAGGCAAAAUUUCUUUUAAAAAUCUAGAAGGGGAAGAAUGAACUAAGAACCCAGAAUCAUGAGAUCACAGCUGCUAUCAAAGGGAAUGGAUGCACCAGGGAAGACUUGGAGUCCAGUGUGAGUUGGGGGUGAGGAAGGUGCAAGCAUCCUUGCAAAUCAGCAAUAAGAGGUGGCCUCCUGAGAAGGGGUCAUCUAGGGGUACAACGAAAGAGAAGAAGGAAAUGGCCAUAUGGAUAUCAUUCUGUAAAUGUGUAAUUAAGAUUGUCAAUUUGUUAGUUACCUAAUUGGUUUUGGUUAAUUUUUCUAUAAUCAUUGAUCCUAUUUUCACUUAUAUCAGAAUUUGUAAUUCAUGAGAAACAAUAGUCAAAAAGAAAGCUUAAGCUGAGAAAGGGUAGUGCCAAUGUCUCAGGAGGCUGAGGCAGGAGGAGGGCCUGAGCGCAGAAAUUUAAGUCCAGCCUGAGCAGCAUAGUAAAUAAAACCCUAUUAAUAAAAAUACAUAAAAAUGUACAACUGUCACUUAGUGAGCACUCAAUUAGUAUGUUAAAUACAUACCUCUAAUGAGGCAAAUUAAAUUAGCAUGCUUGAGUUUUAGAGACUACCCUUCGCCAGUUUCAAUGUCUUAAGAGAAUUCAUAUAACAAUGUUGUUUUUCUAACAUUAGUUUAAAAUGUGGCCACUAUUUUUUACCAUAACAUAAAAUAUGCCUAUGACUCUAAAUAGGCUGACUAGCAUAUUUGUGGUUCUUAUAAAGCAAGGCACAUACACUGUACAGUUUCUAUUAUAAAGUAUAAUUAAAAAGAGCUGACAAAAAAGUAUUGGGAAAAUUACAUGGAUUGUUUUCUGUACUCAGAUUUUGAUAUGUGUUCCAAAAUACGAAACUAUACAACUAGAGUGAUAAAAUCAUAAUUUAAAAAUUUUCAAGAGAAAUUGAGAACAAAUAAAAACCAUUUAAGACUAGAAAUGUUCAAGAGAGAAAAUGAAUCAUGUAACAGAGCCCUGAACUCUCAACUAGUUCUGAAAAAUGUUCAUGUUGGAUUGUAAAAUAAUAUUUUAAUAUCCUCCCUAGCAUAUUUUAGUAUUUCCAUAAACCAAUUUAAUUCACGUAUAAUUUAUAUUUCUAUGUCAAACACCUGCAAGUUAUAAAUAUAUUAGUACAAAAACUUAUUUUAAGGUUUUUAUUAAAUCAGAAGUAUGUAUGAGCACACUUACAGUUGAAGAAGUUAAUGCAAGAGUUACUGGCUAGUUAUGGUACAAAACUGAGCCAAGAAAAACAUUCACUUAUUUAUAUACUGCAGCACUUGAAAAUGUCUCUUUUACACUGUGCCCAGAACCACAAAAUUUAUCAAAUAAAUUUCCAUACCCCCAAAAUCUAACCAAAAGAUACUGUGAAACUGGCAUUACAUUAAAAAUAAAAUACUAGUACUAUGCAGUUGUAUGCAUGUUC
RNAcentral lists this long non-coding RNA (2881 nucleotides) under Mus musculus (house mouse). Its description in RNAcentral is "long non-coding RNA chr17:17351855-17354736". The record is from RNAcentral. Lineage: Eukaryota; Metazoa; Chordata; Mammalia; Rodentia; Muridae.